This 1340-nucleotide ribosomal RNA is filed under the name Rhodotorula mucilaginosa. RNAcentral's name for it is "SSU rRNA". It matches the Rfam family "Eukaryotic small subunit ribosomal RNA", at positions 68 to 1434 of the family's 1831-position model. Lineage: Eukaryota; Fungi; Basidiomycota; Microbotryomycetes; Sporidiobolales; Sporidiobolaceae. The record is from RNAcentral.
UUUAGCAUAAACAGUGAAACUGCGAAUGGCUCAUUAAAUCAGUCAUAGUUUAUUUGAUGGUACCUUACUACAUGGAUAACUGUGGUAAUUCUAGAGCUAAUACAUGCUGAAAAAUCCCGACUUCUGGAAGGGAUGUAUUUAUUAGAUCCAAAACCAAUGGCCUUCGGGUCCCUAUGGUGAAUCAUGAUAACUGCUCGAAUCGCAUGGCCUUGCGCCGGCGAUGCUUCAUUCAAAUAUCUGCCCUAUCAACUUUCGAUGGUAGGAUAGAGGCCUACCAUGGUGAUGACGGGUAACGGGGAAUAAGGGUUCGAUUCCGGAGAGAGGGCCUGAGAAACGGCCCUCAGGUCUAAGGACACGCAGCAGGCGCGCAAAUUAUCCCCUGGCAACACUUUGCCGAGAUAGUGACAAUAAAUAACAAUGCAGGGCUCUUACGGGUCUUGCAAUUGGAAUGAGUACAAUUUAAAUCCCUUAACGAGGAUCAAUUGGAGGGCAAGUCUGGUGCCAGCAGCCGCGGUAAUUCCAGCUCCAAUAGCGUAUAUUAAAAUUGUUGCCGUUAAAAAGCUCGUAGUCGAACUUCGGGCUCUGUCAGCCGGUCCGCCUUCUUGGUGUGUACUUGUUUGACGGAGCCUUACCUCCUGGUGAACGGCGAUGUCCUUUACUGGGUGUCGUCGCAAACCAGGACUUUUACUUUGAAAAAAUUAGAGUGUUCAAAGCAGGCCUUUGCCCGAAUACAUUAGCAUGGAAUAAUAAAAUAGGACGCGCGUUCCCAUUUUGUUGGUUUCUGAGAUCGCCGUAAUGAUUAAUAGGGAUAGUUGGGGGCAUUUGUAUUCCGUCGUCAGAGGUGAAAUUCUUGGAUUGCCGGAAGACAAACUACUGCGAAAGCAUUUGCCAAGGAUGUUUUCAUUGAUCAAGAACGAAGGAAGGGGGAUCGAAAACGAUUAGAUACCGUUGUAGUCUCUUCUGUAAACUAUGCCAAUUGGGGAUCGGUACAGGAUUUUUAAUGACUGUAUCGGCACCCGAAGAGAAAUCUUUAAAUGAGGUUCGGGGGGGAGUAUGGUCGCAAGGCUGAAACUUAAAGGAAUUGACGGAAGGGCACCACCAGGUGUGGAGCCUGCGGCUUAAUUUGACUCAACACGGGGAAACUCACCAGGUCCAGACACAAUAAGGAUUGACAGAUUGAUAGCUCUUUCUUGAUCUUGUGGUUGGUGGUGCAUGGCCGUUCUUAGUUGGUGGAGUGAUUUGUCUGGUUAAUUCCGAUAACGAACGAGACCUUAACCUGCUAAAUAGACCAGCCGGCUUUGGCUAGCUGCUGUCUUCUUAGAGGGACUAUCAGCGUUAGC